RNAcentral lists this transfer RNA (72 nucleotides) under Butyrivibrio sp. RNAcentral describes it as "tRNA-Ala". It matches the Rfam family "tRNA". Rfam says of the family: Transfer RNA (tRNA) molecules are approximately 80 nucleotides in length. The record is from RNAcentral. Lineage: Bacteria; Bacillati; Bacillota; Clostridia; Lachnospirales; Lachnospiraceae. RNAcentral also lists the same sequence under 1 other name.
GGGUUGCUAACUCAAUGGGAGAGUGCCUCCCUUGCAAGGAGGAAGUUACGGGUUCAAAUCCCGUGCGAUCCA